RNAcentral lists this ribosomal RNA (497 nucleotides) under uncultured bacterium. Its description in RNAcentral is "partial 16S ribosomal RNA". It matches the Rfam family "Bacterial small subunit ribosomal RNA", at positions 28 to 507 of the family's 1533-position model. The record is from RNAcentral.
GAUGAACGCUGGCGGCGUGCCUAAUACAUGCAAGUCGAGCGAACAGAUGAGGAGCUUGCUCCUCUGACGUUAGCGGCGGACGGGUGAGUAACACGUGGAUAACCUACCUAUAAGACUGGGAUAACUUCGGGAAACCGGAGCUAAUACCGGAUAAUAUAUUGAACCGCAUGGUUCAAUAGUGAAAGACGGUUUUGCUGUCACUUAUAGAUGGAUCCGCGCCGCAUUAGCUAGUUGGUAAGGUAACGGCUUACCAAGGCAACGAUGCGUAGCCGACCUGAGAGGGUGAUCGGCCACACUGGAACUGAGACACGGUCCAGACUCCUACGGGAGGCAGCAGUAGGGAAUCUUCCGCAAUGGGCGAAAGCCUGACGGAGCAACGCCGCGUGAGUGGUGAAGGUCUUCGGAUCGUAAAACUCUGUUAUUGGGGAAGAACAAAUGUGUAAGUAACUAUGCACGUCUUGACGGUACCUAAUCAGAAAGCCACGGCUAACUACGUG